This 72-nucleotide transfer RNA is filed under the name Cavia porcellus (domestic guinea pig). It matches the Rfam family "tRNA". Rfam says of the family: Transfer RNA (tRNA) molecules are approximately 80 nucleotides in length. Their secondary structure includes four short double-helical elements and three loops (D, anti-codon, and T loops). The record is from Rfam by way of RNAcentral. Lineage: Eukaryota; Metazoa; Chordata; Mammalia; Rodentia; Caviidae.
UGGGAUAUGGCUCAGUGGUACAGCAUCUGCUUGGCAAUUACAAGGCCCUAAGUUCAAUUCCUAGUACCACGA